ACGAACGCUGGCGGCAUGCCUCACACAUGCAAGUCGCACGAGACCUUCGGGUCUAGUGGCGCACGGGUGCGUAACGCGUGGGAAUCUGCCCUUGGGUUCGGAAUAACAGUGAGAAAUUACUGCUAAUACCGGAUGAUGUCUUCGGACCAAAGAUUUAUCGCCCAGGGAUGAGCCCGCGUAGGAUUAGCUAGUUGGUGGGGUAAUGGCCUACCAAGGCGACGAUCCUUAGCUGGUCUGAGAGGAUGAUCAGCCACACUGGGACUGAGACACGGCCCAGACUCCUACGGGAGGCAGCAGUGGGGAAUAUUGGACAAUGGGCGCAAGCCUGAUCCAGCAAUGCCGCGUGAGUGAUGAAGGCCUUAGGGUUGUAAAGCUCUUUUACCCGGGAUGAUAAUGACAGUACCGGGAGAAUAAGCUCCGGCUAACUCCGUG
RNAcentral lists this ribosomal RNA (432 nucleotides) under uncultured bacterium. RNAcentral's name for it is "partial 16S ribosomal RNA". It matches the Rfam family "Bacterial small subunit ribosomal RNA", at positions 29 to 507 of the family's 1533-position model. The record is from RNAcentral.